GACAAAAACCUUUAUUUAUCAAAAUCAUAAAACUCACGUCCGUAAACACACUCAAAUCUCAUAAGAUGAUGAUGGGCAUUCAUUCUCAGAUAUCUCAAAUCUCAUCUUUUUUUAGAAGCUCGUGUUCUGCUUUGAUGUGCGGUGAUGAUGCUUAUGCGACAGGAUAUUUAGGGGGAUAAGAGAGAGAGAAGCUUUCUGUUUUCUUUCUCAGUAAUGGCUGCUGACUCUGGAGCCCUUCAUGACGGUUCCUAUUGAUUUGACAAGGGAAGGGCUAAUGAUUUGGAUUCUAAAAGUUACUUGAACUGUAACUACUAUCCUGUAGUCCAGCAGCUGAUACUGGAGAGCCUGCGUUAGUUAUUGUAGAUGGAUUUUGUUUCAUCAAUGCUUCCUUCCUCUCUUCUGAGAGGUAGGUGUUCUGUUCGCGGUGAACAUCUUUCUCGUCCUCCCUUGCCAAAGGAAGUGGUAACAUAUUCACAGAUGGAAGAGGUCCUCUGCUUUUUCUCCUUCAACUACAUUUCAAGAAACUCAGGACUCUCUCUCUCUCUCUCUCUCUCUCGUUGACUUGGUUAGUUUCAGUGGGCCUACUGAGCUAGCGUCAGAGCUAAGUUGGGACUGCGGCGAAGAAGGGGAGACGAACAAGUCGGCUGAAACAGAUCCGCAACUUGUUGUUUAUUCAGUACAUUAUUUCACUUGGAGUACCUACCUGUGCUCUCAACAUGGGAGAUGAAUGUGGAGCCUCUGCAAAGGGCUCGCCUUUGUUAGAAGCAAGAAUACCAUUUUGGUUGGAACAUGCCGGCUUCUCUGUUGAAGGAGAAACCAUAAAUUCUACUACUGCUUAGAACUCAUGUUAUGAUGAUCUUUGUAUACUGUGUUAUUAUAUUUCUAGUCAGAAUAUUUAAUCUCAAACCAAUGACUUUCCUCACAGUAUCAGAUAUAUAGUACACUAAUCACAUUUUUAUGCCA
Raphanus sativus (radish) is the source of this 963-nucleotide long non-coding RNA. RefSeq lists it as uncharacterized. Lineage: Eukaryota; Viridiplantae; Streptophyta; Magnoliopsida; Brassicales; Brassicaceae. The transcript is spliced from 2 exons. The record is from RefSeq and is a predicted model, not a curated record.